AUUGAACGCUGGCGGCAUGCCUUACACAUGCAAGUCGAACGGUAACGGGCCUUCGGGUGCCGACGAGUGGCGAACGGGUGAGUAAUACAUCGGAACGUGCCCGAUCGUGGGGGAUAACGAGGCGAAAGCUUUGCUAAUACCGCAUACGAUCUACGGAUGAAAGCAGGGGACCGCAAGGCCUUGCGCGGACGGAGCGGCCGAUGGCAGAUUAGGUAGUUGGUGGGAUAAAAGCUUACCAAGCCGACGAUCUGUAGCUGGUCUGAGAGGAUGAUCAGCCACACUGGGACUGAGACACGGCCCAGACUCCUACGGGAGGCAGCAGUGGGGAAUUUUGGACAAUGGGCGCAAGCUUGAUCCAGCCAUGCCGCGUGCAGGAUGAAGGCCUUCGGGUUGUAAACUGCUUUUGUACGGAACGAAAAGCCUUCUUUUAAUACAGGAGGGUCAUGACGGUACCGUAAGAAUAAGCACCGGCUAACUACGUG
This 482-nucleotide ribosomal RNA is filed under the name uncultured bacterium. RNAcentral's name for it is "partial 16S ribosomal RNA". It matches the Rfam family "Bacterial small subunit ribosomal RNA", at positions 30 to 507 of the family's 1533-position model. The record is from RNAcentral.